ACAAGAUUUAUCAGGAUAACCUAGAAGCUAGUGUCUCUGUUCUGAAAAAACUUUCUGAUGACUGGAAAACGCAUUCUCUAAAACUAGCUCCAUUUGAUGCUUUGAGAGAGACACUAAAAAGUUUCAGAAUCAAGAACGAGAAGGCAUUGGCUAGUGAAGAAGAGGACGGACGCCAAUCAAUAUACAAGGAGGCAGACAAGUAUGCUAAGGCAAUACUGAACAGGGUUUCACGAGGCCAUGGAUGUCUGAAAAGUAUGGCUUUUAUCGUUAUCGCUCUAGGUGUUGGUGCUGCAGUCAUGUCCCCAAACAUCGAGUCUUUGGAUUGGGAGAAACUCACUGCUUUCAUCCCACAACACUCUUUCUGAGUUGGCCUUCCUGCACUGUCAGCCAACCGUUUCGAAUUUCGACAUAUUUCCCCUCCGAUGAAGCCAAACUUGGGUCAUUCCUGGGGCAGGGAAACAAAAAAAGAAAUCCUCUG
This 478-nucleotide unclassified non-coding RNA is filed under the name Hevea brasiliensis (rubber tree). Lineage: Eukaryota; Viridiplantae; Streptophyta; Magnoliopsida; Malpighiales; Euphorbiaceae. The record is from RNAcentral.